RNAcentral lists this ribosomal RNA (253 nucleotides) under uncultured bacterium. Its description in RNAcentral is "partial 16S ribosomal RNA". It matches the Rfam family "Bacterial small subunit ribosomal RNA", at positions 524 to 776 of the family's 1533-position model. The record is from RNAcentral.
UACGGGGGGUGCAAGCGUUGUUCGGAUUUACUGGGUGUAAAGGGAGCGCAGGUGGCAGUAUAAGUCAGAUGUGAAAGCCCAGGGCUCAACCCUGGGACUGCAUUUGAAACUAUACUGCUAGAGUGCAGGAGAGGUAAGUGGAAUUCCUAGUGUAGCGGUGAAAUGCGUAGAUAUUAGGAGGAACACCAGUGGCGAAGGCGGCUUACUGGACUGUAACUGACACUGAGUCACGAAAGCGUGGGUAGCAAACAGG